RNAcentral lists this ribosomal RNA (484 nucleotides) under uncultured bacterium. Its description in RNAcentral is "partial 16S ribosomal RNA". It matches the Rfam family "Bacterial small subunit ribosomal RNA", at positions 30 to 507 of the family's 1533-position model. The record is from RNAcentral.
AUUGAACGCUGGCGGCAGGCCUAACACAUGCAAGUCGAGCGGAAGAAGAGAGCUUGCUCCUGGAUUCAGCGGCGGACGGGCGAGUAAUGCCUAGGAAUCUGCCUGGCAGUGGGGGCUAACGUCCGGACACGGGCGCUAAUACCGCAUACGUCCUGAGGGAGUAAGUGGGGGAUCUUCGGACCUCACGCUAUCAGAUGAGCCUAUGUCGGAUUAGCUAGUUGGUGGGGUAAAGGCCUACCAAGGCGACGAUCCGUAACUGGUCUGAGAGGAUGAUCAGUCACACUGGAACUGAGACACGGUCCAGACUCCUACGGGAGGCAGCAGUGGGGAAUAUUGGACAAUGGGCGAAAGCCUGAUCCAGCCAUGCCGCGUGUGUGAAGAAGGUCUUCGGAUUGUAAAGCACUUUAAGUUGGGAGGAAGGGCAGUAAGUUAAUACCUUGCUGUUUUGACGGUACCAACAGAAUAAGCACCGGCUAACUUCGUG